RNAcentral lists this ribosomal RNA (377 nucleotides) under uncultured bacterium. RNAcentral describes it as "bacterial SSU rRNA". It matches the Rfam family "Bacterial small subunit ribosomal RNA", at positions 521 to 896 of the family's 1533-position model. The record is from RNAcentral.
UAAUACAGAGGGUGCGAGCGUUGUCCGGAAUCACUGGGCGUAAAGGGCGCGUAGGUGGCGACCCAAGUCCAUGGUGAAAGCUCGAUGCUCAACAUCGAGUCGGCCACGGAUACUGGGUUGCUCGAGCACUGUAGAGGCUAAUGGAAUUCCGGGUGUAGCGGUGGAAUGCGUAGAGAUCCGGAAGAACACCGGUGGCGAAGGCGGUUAGCUGGGCAGUUGCUGACACUGAGGCGCGACAGCGUGGGGAGCAAACAGGAUUAGAUACCCUGGUAGUCCACGCCGUAAACGAUGGGCACUAGAUGCUUGGGGGAGCGACCCCCUGAGUGUCGUCGCUAACGCAGUAAGUGCCCCGCCUGGGGAGUACGGCCGCAAGGCUG